RNAcentral lists this ribosomal RNA (432 nucleotides) under uncultured bacterium. RNAcentral's name for it is "partial 16S ribosomal RNA". It matches the Rfam family "Bacterial small subunit ribosomal RNA", at positions 29 to 507 of the family's 1533-position model. The record is from RNAcentral.
ACGAACGCUGGCGGCAGGCCUAACACCUGCAAGUCGAGCGCGGACUUCGGUUCUAGCGGCGGACGGGUGAGUAACGCGUGGGAAUGUGCCCUUCUCUACGGAAUAGCCCUGGGAAACUGGGAGUAAUACCGUAUACGCCCUAUUGGGGAAAGAUUUAUCGGAGAAGGAUCAGCCCGCGUUGGAUUAGGUAGUUGGUGGGGUAAUGGCCUACCAAGCCGACGAUCCAUAGCUGGUUUGAGAGGAUGAUCAGCCACACUGGGACUGAGACACGGCCCAGACUCCUACGGGAGGCAGCAGUGGGGAAUCUUAGACAAUGGGGGCAACCCUGAUCUAGCCAUGCCGCGUGAGUGAUGAAGGCCUUAGGGUUGUAAAGCUCUUUCAGCUGGGAAGAUAAUGACGGUACCAGCAGAAGAAGCCCCGGCUAACUCCGUG